GGGAGGCAUCUCCCCCUGCAUGAAAGAUGGCCUCUGAAUAUGCUAUUACCUGUUGAUGGGUCUGCGUCUGAUUAGCUGGUAGGUGAGGUAACCGCUCACCUAGGCGACGAUCAGUAGCCGGUCUGAGGGAUGAACGGCCACAUUGGGACUGAGACACGGCCCAGACUCCUACGGGAGGCAGCAGUGGGGAAUCUUCCGCAAUGGGGCGCAAACCUGACGGAGCAACGCCGCGUGAGUGAAGAAGGUCUUCGGAUCGUAAAGCUCUGUUGAUGGGGACGAACGUGCCUAAUGCGAAUAGUAUUAGGUAAUGACG
RNAcentral lists this ribosomal RNA (313 nucleotides) under Selenomonas sp. oral taxon E64. RNAcentral's name for it is "bacterial SSU rRNA". It matches the Rfam family "Bacterial small subunit ribosomal RNA", at positions 183 to 474 of the family's 1533-position model. Lineage: Bacteria; Bacillati; Bacillota; Negativicutes; Selenomonadales; Selenomonadaceae. The record is from RNAcentral.